This 1480-nucleotide ribosomal RNA is filed under the name uncultured Bordetella sp. RNAcentral describes it as "partial 16S-23S ribosomal RNA intergenic spacer". It matches the Rfam family "Bacterial small subunit ribosomal RNA". Lineage: Bacteria; Pseudomonadati; Pseudomonadota; Betaproteobacteria; Burkholderiales; Alcaligenaceae. The record is from RNAcentral.
AGUUCGAUCUGGCUCAGAUUGAACGCUGGUGGAUGCUUUGUUAUGGCAAGUCGAACGGCAGCACGGACUGGUCUGGUGGCGAGUGGCGAACGGUGAGUAAUGUAUCGGAACGUGCCUAGUAGCGGGGGAUAACUACGCGAAAGCGUAGCUACGACGCGCAUACAGCCUUCGGGGGGAAAGUGGGGUAAGCUUCGGGCCUCGCACUAUUAGAGCGGCCGAUAUCGGAUUAGCUAGUUGGUGGGGUAACGGCUCACCAAGGCGACGAUCCGUAGCUGGUUUGAGAGGACGACCAGCCACACUGGGACUGAGACACGGCCCAGACUCCUACGGGAGGCAGCAGUGGGGAAUUUUUGACAAUGGGGGAAACCCUGAUCCAGCCAUCCUGGCGCGUGUGCGAUGAAGGGCCUUCUGGGUUGUAAAGAAUUUUUGGCAGGAAAGGAACGGCACGGGAUAAUACCCCGUGCAACUGACGGUACCUGCAGAAUAAGCACCGGCUAACCACAGCCAGCAGCCGCAGUAAUACGUAGGGUGCAAGCGUGUUAAUCGGAAUUACUGGGCGCAAGUGCGCAGGCGGUUCGUUAAAGAUGUAAAAUCCCAGAGCUUAACUUUGAACUGCAUUUUUAACUACCGAGUUUCAGAGUGUGUCAGAGGGAGGUGGAAUUCCGCGUGUAGCAGUGAAAUGCGUAGAUAUGCGGGAGAGGAACACCGAUGGCGAAGGCAGCCUCCUGGGAUAACACUGAUGCUCAUGCACGAAGCGGGGAGCAAACAGGAUUAGAUACUCCCGGUAGUCCACGCCCUAAACGACAGUCAACUAGCUGUUGGGGCCUUCUUCGCCUUGGUAGCGCAGCUAACGCGCUUGACCGCCUGGGGAGUACGGUCGCAAGAUUAAAACUCAAAGGGAAUUGACGGGGACCCGCACAAGCGGUGGAUGAUGUGGAUUAAUUUGAUGCAACGCGAAAACCUUACCUACCCUUGACAUGUCUGGAAUCCCGAAGAGAUCGGGAGUGCUCGCAGGAGAACCGGAACACAGGUGCUGCAUGGCUGUCGCCGCCUGUGCCGUGAGAUGCCGGGUUAAGUCCCGCAACGAGCGCAACCCUUGUCAUUAGUUACGAAAGGGCACUCUAAUGAGACGCCGGUGACAAACCGGAGGAAGGUGGGGAUGACGUCAAGUCCUCAUGGCCCUCUUAUGGGUAGGGCUUCACACGUCAUACAAUGGUCGGGACAGAGGGUCGCCAACCCGCGAGGGGGAGCCAAUCCCAGAAACCCGAUCGUAGUCCGGAUCGCAGUCUGCAACUCGACUGCGUGAAGUCGGAAUCGCUAGUAAUCGCGGAUCAGCAUGUCGCGGUGAAUACGUUCUGGUCUUGUACACACCGCCCGUCACACCAUGGGAGUGGGUUUUACCAGAAGUAGUUAGCCUAACCGUAAGGAGGGCGAUUACCACGGUAGGAUUCAUGACUGGGGUGAAGUCGUAACAAGGUAA